Molecule: long non-coding RNA, 6563 nt
Organism: Cervus elaphus (red deer)
Lineage: Eukaryota; Metazoa; Chordata; Mammalia; Artiodactyla; Cervidae
Exons: 4
Source: RefSeq, a predicted model, not a curated record
CAAGAAGAGAAAGGGAAAGAUUCUGUAAGUAUUGGCCAGACAAACGUGUUUGAGCGGAAACGGGAGAGGUAGGGAGGACUCAAUCCCACAUCCUCGACUGUGAAUGCUCCAGGUAGUGGCUGUUAAUCAAUGACUACAUUUCCCAUAGCCCUUAGGGCAGCACCACCCACACUUCCCAGAGGGCUGUGCGACGCCCGCGUUGACCCUGAGCAUUCGUGGACACUAAAAAGCUCCUUUGUCCACGGACUUAAGGGCCCCAAAUACCCCCGGACCGGUCUCCUUGACAACUCCUUGUUAUCUUUUCGGCGGCCCGCGACCGGAAGCGGGGUGUGCCCGGAGACUCCUGGGAAGUGUAGUUCAGCCUCCCGACGGCCGCGGCCCAGUCAAAUGGCUCGGCCUCCUCGGGCACCAGAACCAAGGGGCGAGGGCGCGUGACCGGCGUUCGGAAGCCACGGAGAGUGGAGGCUCAUCUGCACACGAUCACCCGCAGGCCCAGACCCCCGACGGUUGGUGAACCGACGAGCCCAGCCUGUUUCCGUGGUAACCGGCUGGCCGCAGAGAACUGUGGGAAGUGUAGUUGGGCAGGGCCGGCCAGUACUCAAGGUCAGAAGGGUUGCUGUUAUGCCGCUGGCCACCGCGGGCAGAACGACUUUGCGGCAUCCGGGCGACGUCGUCCCGCCGUCACCUUGGCCUCUGAUCACCCAGGCAGAACAUUUCUGAAAUUAAGCUCAUGAAGAGUUUAUCUGAAACAUAACCCUCCCACGGCACAAGUUAAGCCUCCUUGGGGACUUCUCCAGUCAAGAAUGAAUGACCCCAGCAAUGGCGGGGUCUGUGUCCUUGGCCUCCGCCCAGAUCCAGUCCCAUAGACCGGCGUCCGGGGAACCUCCCAGAGGGGAGGUUGAGCAGCUGGCCUGCCCCAGAGAAGAGUUUCGAGCAGGAGAGACAAGAGAGGAGCCGGGAAGGUGACCAGAGAGACCAGAACAGCCAGCCAGACAGAUGUAAAGCUCUUUGAGGAAGAACCACCCAGUGUCCCUUGGACUCACAGCACCUCUGAGCGCCGAGGGACUUGGGAUGCCAUGGGGAUCGGUGACUGCAUACAGCUGUGGACGCAGACAGAUGGAUUUGUGGCUCAGGGUCAUCACGCAUGGAGACACGCUUACCCUUGACUGAAGACAUGACCUGCCUUCUCGGGGAUGGCUGUCGGCCAUUCUCUUCCGGGUCACACAGGAGGAAGGUGAUCUCAUCUUUAUUGCCACCUCUUCCCCCAUCCCUGACCUGAAAGCUGGAUUAGCGCUGAUGUCCAUAAGGUGGCAGAGGCCCUUGGCUCUGUCUGGGGGGCACUGCUGGCUGUCAUGCAUUGCACUAACCUUGGGAGUGACCUUGACUGGGGAGGUGGGAACAAGCAAGAAAUUAGUAUGUUGGAGAGCUGGCUAGUGUCCUGGUUAAGGGUAGCUGGCUCAGGGUCCACCCCGAAGAUGAACUUGGAGCUCUUUGAGAUCAAGACCUAUGUCUGAAGCAUCUCUAUAUUCAUAGUGCCUCAAUUAACACCUGGCACGUAGCAGUUAUUCAUCCGACACUGGGCGCUCCUGUAGCUGCCAGCAACCAGAGUUACCAGCAAGGAGGUAACAGGAGAACAGAUGUUAGCGACUGUACUGAAAGGUCCCACCUGUGCUGGCCGCCACAAAUGUAUCAUCCUUUACCAUAAAACAGAGCGCUGGGUCCCAAGCACAAAAUGCAGGAACAUCUCUUGUCUUUUGUCAACUGCAAAAUCUCUAUCUCCCCUACAAACAAAACAAAACAGGGACAGACUCUGUGUAUAUAUCCAUGGAUUUAUAUAGCCAUGGCGUGCUCUUCUAAAUGUCUUUCAAAUCUAGUAAGUUAGAAAUGUUGGAGGUGGAGAUGAUAAGAGCUAGUCCCUAGAUCUGGCAUUGCCCAUCAGAACUGCAUUUCCUAGAAAGGCAAGGCUGCUCUGAACAGCUGAAACUUGAACCCAGUAAAGCCUUGAACCCGGUGAAAGGAUGAGUAGAUCAUGGAGAAUUAAGGAGAAAAAGGGAGGGUCCUUGCCAGCCGCCUCUUUGCCUGCGUACCAGAGGCUCAUGAGCUCACAUGGCGGUCUCUGGGCAGGAGGACAGCUGGUCACUGGAUUUCUGUGCUCCUGUCCUGGGAGUUUAGAGCUGGAACGUCACUUAUAGUAGAUCUCCAGAUACCCUCUCAGAUCACUCCUUGAAGGGCCUAUCCAAGGAACAAAUAGAGUAGGAAGUGAUAGAAACAGGCAGAGGAGAUUGAAAUGGCUAAACCAGGGAAGGCUGUUGGGAGAGAGGGGACUGGAGGGACAGGGACUGUAAGCUCUGCGAAGUUAGAGACUCUUAACUCCUGGGGGGCUGGGUGAAAGCUGUUCCAAAGGCCUCUAGGAAAUCGCUCAAGAAACUAGAAGGAAAGCUGUCAAGUGCUUCAUGGGGUGCACCAGUCACCCCCAGCCCCACUCGCCACCAUGGAGGGCCCCAGUGGAGCUCCCCAUCAGAACCGCCACGCCACGCCAGCUCUUUUGAUGGGUGCCAGCCAGCGGGCUCUCCCCUGGGGCUCGGCCCCACCCGAGCAUGUGACAGGCUCUGAGGACAGCAGUCACUCACAUGCGUUUAGUGCUUUACACACAGGGUCUCAUUUAAUCCUCCCAACAACCCUUGAAAUGGGAUGUUUCUAUCCUCACGUUACAGAUGAAGAAACUAAGACCUAGAGAGGUGCAGUAACCUGCCCAAGGGCAUGCAACUAAGAAGUAGAGGAGCGAGGCUUCCCAGGUCUUGCAUGUUCUCAUUUUCGUGUUGUGGGACUUUUCACUCCCUUUGCUGGAAUCACCAGUCCAUUUUCUGUCCCCGUUACGUGGUAUCAUGUUGAGUUAGUCCUGCUUCUCCAGUCUCUUCCGUGGCCUGCCAAAGCCACAAAAUGGUUUCUAAGCUCUAAGUCCAGCGGGUACCAGAUGCUGCCAGGCCCUAUUAAAGCCAUGUUCAUGAGAAAGCCUGGCUUCCUACUAGCAGUCCCUGGAAUUUCUCCUGUGGGAAUUCAGGGGAUAUAUCAGGGCAGACUCAAGAAACUGAUUAUGUUGUUCAUUCUGUAAGUCAAGUAACGGGCCCUCAGAGUGAGUGACCUGAACAACUGGAUCCAGCUGGGCAGGUUCAGCUGCAGCCACAGGUCAAGGGCCUUGAUUUCGUCUGCCAGCCGGAUUCCUCUCUUCUCCACUUGGCAACCACUGAAACGGGACUGAAAUGUGCAAAAUGGCCUUUUCCCUCUUGUGUCCACCUGGCAUCUCUCUAGUAGACUGGCCUAAUUUCCUUAUCUUGUUGCCCUGGGCUCCAGGAGCCACUGUCCACGCCCUCUGUCCUGCCCCACCCCCAUACCCCACCUCGUUCAGCCCAGGUGGCUGUGUUGCAUCACAUGACUCUGCCUCUGUCCUCCUCGAACCACACACACAAACACACACACACACACUCACACACACACUCACACACUCAUGCAGGUCAGUGACCCAGGAUCUGUGUACACUGGUCAACAACUUUUGAAGUCCCCUGACUCAGUGAAUAUUUGGAAAGCCAGUCAGGCCAGGCAGAUUCCUCUUUUAGGAAAUUUGAACCUCCAAAUCAGACUGCAUAGGCAGUGUGUGACAGGAGGUCUCGAGGGCAAGUAAGGCCAGAAGUACAUUGAGGUGGAAGGUUGGAGAUUGAAGAAAGGCAAAACAAUACUUAUCGCUGGGGGAUUAAUGAGCCUCUUUGGGAAGAAGACAAAGGAUGUCCAGAUUAGAGGCAGGGCUCCAGGAAAGGCAGAGAGAGGAGCCAGCCCUAGAGCCUCCCCAGGGCUCGCCAGGCCUGCCUCCCCCAUGUGUAUCAUUGCAGCAGACUCCUGACUUAGUCCCUCUGCUGUCUGUCGGCUCAGAAUCAGGCAUGCGACAGUUCUGCCAACAUGACUUACAGGGAAGUGGCUGGGGGACCUUCUGGGAAGAUUUUGCUUCCUGAUUAAAGGAGAAUGAAGAGGCCCGUCUCUUCCUCCUGCUUUGAACAGGGAUGUUUGAGAUUUGAUACUUGGAGCUGUGGCAGCCAUUUUGAGACCAGGUGUCAACAAGACCAAGGGAGAAAGCCAACAUACCAAGGUUGGCCGAGUAGACAGACCAAAAAAGGCUAGGACCUCGAUGAUACCGCUGAGCCACCACACCUAGCCUGGAACCACCUACUUCCAGUCUUACUGAUCUUUAAAUUGAACUGUCUUUAUUUUCUAAGCACAUUUCUGCUAUUUGCAGCCUAAGGCAUUCUUAGCCAACAUGGUGCUCCUCUGAACUUCCCUGUCAUCAACUCCUCAGAGCCCCCACGACUCUUGGUACAGCUCCAAAUGGAAAAUCAGCCCAAUUUAGCCGCUGGAAACCUUAAUUGUAUGGUAGGAAAUACAGGUCAAGAUUGGUCAUAGCCCACACCGGCAAGCAGCUUGAGCACUUCUGAUUCCCAGAGCCUUCAGGGCACUGAUGAGGAAAGAUAGAUUCAGGACAGUUUCAGAUGUAUGAGCCUGGGUCUUCUAAAUUGCGGCUCCAUGAGGAACUUUACAACAAAUCAGCAUGGAAGGGGUGGGGGGUGGGUGUUAGUCUCUGGAUGCAGAGCCUGAGCAUGGGUCAGAAGGCCGUGGCAGAAGGAGAAGCAAGCUGGAAUUGGCAAAUGGUGAGUUAGGUUGGAUGAAUUCUAGAGGAGGCCAUUGUCAUACAGCAGGGUUUUAUGAGCCCCAUGUACUAGAUAAAGGAAAUGUAUGGCAGCCAGAACUUAACUGAUGGAAAACCAGGCUUUUUCGUUACUCUCCAGCCAGCCUAAGUGACAUUUCAUGUCCUUUGGGGAAUAGGGUGCCCUGACUUGAGGCCACUUCCCACAUUCUCCAUGUUUUGUCCCUUUGCCACCUGGCCCUUUUUUCUUUACCUUUCCUUCCUAUCUUCUCUAAGCAAAGUCAGGAGCCAGAAACGCACAGGACCUGAAUCACUUCUUCCUCAACUGGGGAAUGGAUAUAGUGGCAAGAGCAAGGAUGUCUCCUAGAAGACUUAGAAUCCCAGGCUAGGGAUAAGGAGUUUGGUUGGGAGGUGAGAACGCAGUCGGUGGAUAAGGACUAGAUGAAGCUUUCUUCUGAUCCAAUUUUCAUCACUAUGUGGUUUUUGUGUUGCUUCAACACAAGAAAAUGUGCCUGACCCUUGCUUCAUGAAAAGAGAAAUUGAACUUAUGAACUCUAGCCCUUCCUCUUUAAAUGUCUAGUUUUAAAUAUAAAACAAAGUGAAACUGGUAUUCUCCUCAUGUAGCUGUCAGAUGCAUUCAGAACUGGAGAAAAAAUUGGCCCCCCUCUUUUCCCAUCUCAAAAUAGUCUUCAGCAGUAAAGAGACGUGGCCCAUAGAAGUUUCUCAAGCUAAUGGGGGCUGAACACGAAUGUGUUGCAAUUAGGGUAGAAUUUGCAACCUCCAGAUCCUGCCAGUAAGCCUCGCCCCCUCCACACAGUCCUUUCACACCCUCCACAAUUUAUGGAGUCCUGCCCUUGAAGGUUCAGACUAGGCUGACUCUGCUGUUUGCCUGUUGUAUUACCUCAUUCAUUCAGCAAAACUGGACUAAAUACCUACCAGGAAUAGAAGUUAAGCUUAUAAAAGCAAGUUUAUAAGCUUAUCUUCCUAAGUCAUUAGAGAUAAAUAAAUAAAUAAAAAAAAUAUAUAUAUAUAUUCUAUGAGACAGAGAAUGAAAUGGAAAUCUUGGUUGCAGUGAAAGAAGCAAUAAAGUUUAAGCCCCUACUUAAUGCUUUAAUUGACAAUAAACCCUGAACCCCCUCCCCUCCUCAAAGUUUCCCCAUUUAUCACUGAAGAUUCUCUGAAAUCCAAUAAAGAAAAGACCUGAAGGCUUUUCCUCAUUCUCCACAAUCAAGGCUUUUCUCCAGAAUGAAUUAGUCUGAUUACUGGCUAAAAGCUCUCCCACAAUCUUUCCAAUAAGAGUGUUUCUUUCCUGUAAAUUCCCCAAAGAUGAUGCUCCACGUUGGUUCCACUCACAGGCUGCUCUCCAGCGUGAAUGAGUUCAGUGUACCCCACACCUCCCCCGGACGGCCUCCCCCAUUCAGCACACACGCCUGCUUCCCGUCCCCGUGAAUCAGCCGACAUUGUCCGAGGCUGGAACUCUGAUUGAAGGUUCUUCCUCAUCCCUUCUGCUCCCAGGGCUCCUAUCCACUCUGAAAUCCCAGAUGUCUAAUUAGCUCUGAGCACCAUCUAAAAGCGCUUUCACAGCUAUGACGCGCAUGUGGUUUUUCUCCAGUGUGAAUUCUCUGACGUUGAAUGGGCUUUGCUUUUCCCGAAAGCCCUUACAGUUACGGCAUUUGUAGAGUUUCUGCUGCAUGUGAAUUAGCUGGUAUCAGGAUGCUGCUGGAUGCCUCCUGCAAACGGAUUCUCUCCAAGAUGAACAUCAGAAUGUUGGGGAGGUGGGGUGCCCGGAGAAAAGUGGCCUCUGUUUCAUAAGAAAGAUGUUUUCUCCAAUAUGUGUACUGUAAUAAGGAAUAAAUUCUGAAUUCUGUUCUAA